CAGCUCAGUAACUCUUAUUUUAUUUGAUGUAUUAGGAUUAUAACUAUGUUAAAUUAUAGAUAACAAUAAUACAAUAAGAAUAAGAUCUAUCAGUUAGUUGUUAAGGUAAUGGCUUAACAAGACUAUGACGGAUAACGGUAUUACUUUGUAAUAUUCCGGAGAAGGAGCCUGAGAGAUUGCUACUAAGUCUAAGGAUUGCAGCAGGGGCGAAACUUGACCUAUGAUAUGAUAUUGAGGCAGUUAUGAGUAGUAUUUUUAAUUAUUGUAGUAUUGUAAGUAUAUACUACAAGAUAAAUCGGAGGGCAAAUCGAGUGCCAGCAGCCGCGGUAAUACUUGUUCCGAUAGUGUGUAUGAUGAUUGAUGCAGUUAAAAAGUCUGUAGUUUAUGAUUAAUAAGCAUUGUGAGGUAUAUUGUAUGGUUAGGAGAGAGAUGAAAUGUGAUAACCCUAACUGGAUGAACAGAAGCGAAAGCUAUAUACUU
Molecule: ribosomal RNA, 480 nt
Filed under: Nosema granulosis
Lineage: Eukaryota; Fungi; Microsporidia; Nosematidae
Description: SSU rRNA
Rfam family: Microsporidia small subunit ribosomal RNA
Source: RNAcentral